This 486-nucleotide ribosomal RNA is filed under the name uncultured bacterium. Its description in RNAcentral is "partial 16S ribosomal RNA". It matches the Rfam family "Bacterial small subunit ribosomal RNA", at positions 30 to 507 of the family's 1533-position model. The record is from RNAcentral.
AUUGAACGCUGGCGGCAUGCCUUACACAUGCAAGUCGAACGGCAGCACGGGUGCUUGCACCUGGUGGCGAGUGGCGAACGGGUGAGUAAUACAUCGGAACAUGUCCUGUAGUGGGGGUUAGCCCGGCGAAAGCCGGAUUAAUACCGCAUACGAUCUACGGAUGAAAGCGGGGGACCUUCGGGCCUCGCGCUUUAGUGUUUGCCGAUGGCUUAUUAGCUAGUUGGUGGGGUAAAGGCCUACCAAGGCGACGAUCAGCAGCUGGUCUGAGAGGACGACCAGCAACACUGGGACUGAGACAAGGCCAAGAGUACUAAGGGAGGCAGCAGUGGGGAAUUUUGGACAAUGGGCGAAAGCAUGAUCCAGAAAUGCCGAGUGUGUGAAGAAGGCCUUAGGGGUGUAAAGAACUUUUGUCCGGAAAGAAAUCCUUGGCCCUAAUACGGUCGGGGGAUGACGGUACCGGAAGAAUAAGCACCGGCUAACUACGUG